GUUUGAAAUCCAACCUGAUAUACAUGAUUUGUUCCACUAGGCUACUGGCUGAUUUAAGUAGAAUUCAGAUGCUGAAAUCUAAUCCCCAAUGAGUUGGUAUUAAGAGGUGAAGGCUUUGGGACGUCACAAGGUCAUGAGGGUGGACCCCUCAUUAAUUGGAUUUGUGCUCUUAAAAAGAGGCCCAAGAGAGAUUUUUUGCCGCUUUUACCACGUGAGCAAGAAGCACCAUCUUAGAAGUAGAGAGUGGGCCCUCACUAGACACUGAAUCUGCUGACACCUUGAACUUGGACUUCCUAACCUCGAGAACACUGAG
This 313-nucleotide long non-coding RNA is filed under the name Homo sapiens (human). RNAcentral's name for it is "HSALNT0374586". The record is from RNAcentral. Lineage: Eukaryota; Metazoa; Chordata; Mammalia; Primates; Hominidae.